Molecule: transfer RNA, 63 nt
Filed under: Nacolus tuberculatus
Lineage: Eukaryota; Metazoa; Arthropoda; Insecta; Hemiptera; Cicadellidae
Description: tRNA-Cys
Source: RNAcentral
AGUCUUUUAGUUUAAUUAAAAUUUUAAAUUGCAAGUUUAAGGAUACUUUAUAAGUCAAGACUU